This 593-nucleotide ribosomal RNA is filed under the name Candidatus Minthosoma caballi. RNAcentral's name for it is "bacterial SSU rRNA". It matches the Rfam family "Bacterial small subunit ribosomal RNA", at positions 1 to 595 of the family's 1533-position model. Lineage: Bacteria; Pseudomonadati; Bacteroidota; Bacteroidia; Bacteroidales; Bacteroidaceae. The record is from RNAcentral.
ACAGUGAAGAGUUUGAUCCUGGCGCCGGAUUAACGCUCGCUACAGGCUUAACACCUGCAAGGCGCGGGGUAACGGGGGAGCUUGCUCCCGCCGACGACCGGCGAAUGGGUGAGUAACGCGUAUCCAACCUGGCGAUGGCCCGGGGAUAGCCCUUGGAAACGAGGAUUAAGACCCGAUACGCCAUCAGGCCGCAUGGCCUGGUGGUGAAUCCAGGCAAUCGAUGGGGAUGCGUAUGAUUAGCUUGUUGGCGGGGUAACGGCCCACCAAGGCUACGAUCAUUAGGGGUUCUGAGAGGAAGGUCCCCCACACUGGUACUGAGACACGGACCAGACUCCUACGGGAGGCAGCAGUGAGGAAUAUUGGUCAAUGGACGCAGGUCUGAACCAGCCAAGUCGCGUGAGGGAUGGCGGUCCUAUGGAUUGUAAACCUCUUUUGUCGGGGAGUAACGUGCGGUACGUGUACCGUAUUGAGAGUACCCGAAGAAAAAGCAUCGGCUAACUCCGUGCCAGCAGCCGCGGUAAUACGGAGGAUGCGAGCGUUAUCCGGAUUUAUUGGGUUUAAAGGGUGCGCAGGCGGCGCGUCAAGUCAGCGGU